RNAcentral lists this non-coding RNA (401 nucleotides) under Stegodyphus mimosarum. RNAcentral describes it as "eukaryotic small subunit ribosomal RNA". It matches the Rfam family "Eukaryotic small subunit ribosomal RNA", at positions 194 to 605 of the family's 1831-position model. The record is from Rfam by way of RNAcentral. Lineage: Eukaryota; Metazoa; Arthropoda; Arachnida; Araneae; Eresidae.
AGUGUAAUCUCUCUUAACAGGUAAAAUCAAAAUAACGGCACCUUUGAGGACCAAACUUAAAUCCCAAAUUUAAGCCAGUGAAAGAAAAAUAUUUCAAGUGUCAAUCUUAUUACCUGUCGAUGGUAGGCUGCAGGCCUACCAUGGUCGUAAAGAGUAACAGAAAAUUAGGGUUCGAUUCCGGAAAGGGAGCCUGAGAAACGGUUACCACAUCCAAGGAGGGCAAGGGGCGUGCAAAUUAGCUGCUCCCCCUACGGGAAAGUAGUAACGAAAAAUGACAAUACCGGAAUUCUUUGGAACUCCGCAACUGGAAGGAGAACACUCUAAACUCCUUAACGACGAUCAGUUGAAGGCCAAGUCUGGUGCCAGCAGCUGUGGUAAUUCCAGCUCCAAUAGUGUAUAUU